This 468-nucleotide ribosomal RNA is filed under the name uncultured bacterium. RNAcentral describes it as "partial 16S ribosomal RNA". It matches the Rfam family "Bacterial small subunit ribosomal RNA", at positions 28 to 507 of the family's 1533-position model. The record is from RNAcentral.
GACGAACGCUGGCGGCGUGCUUAACACAUGCAAGUCGAACGGAAAGGCCCUGCUUUUGUUGGGUGCUCGAGUGGCGAACGGGUGAGUAACAUGAGAGUAACCUGCCCUUGACUUUGGGAUAACUUCAGGAAACUGGGGCUAAUACCGGAUAGGAGCUCCUGCUGCAUGGUGGGGGUUGGAAAGUUUCGGCGGUUGGGGAUGGACUCGCGGCUUAUCAGCGUGUUGGUGGGGUAGUGGCUUACCACGGCUUUGACGGGUAGCCGGCCUGAGAGGGUGACCGGCCCGAUUGGGACUGAGAUACGGCGCAGACGCCUACGGGAGGGAGCAGUGGGGAAUAUUGCACAGUGGGCGGAAGCCUGAUGCAGCAGCGCCGCGUGCGGGAUGACGGCCUUCGGGUUGUAAACCGCUUUCGCCUGUGACGAAGGGUGAGUGACGGUAAUGGGUAAAGAAGCACCGGCUAACUACGUG